Molecule: ribosomal RNA, 504 nt
Filed under: uncultured bacterium
Lineage: Bacteria
Description: partial 16S ribosomal RNA
Rfam family: Bacterial small subunit ribosomal RNA
Source: RNAcentral
GAUAAACGCUAGCGGCAGGCUUAACACAUGCAAGUCGAGGGGCAGCAUAGAAUGUAGCAAGACAAUUGGUGGCCACCGGCGCACGGGUGCGUAACGCGUAUGCAACCUACCCGUCACAGGGGGAAAAUCCGGAGAAAUCUGGUCUAAUACCCCAUAACAUAUGGAUCGGCAUCGGUUCAUGUUGAAAUUUUCGGAGGUGACGGAUGGGCAGGCGUAGCAUUAGCUUGUUGGUGCGGUAACGGCUCACCAAGGCGACGUUGCUUAGGGGGACUGAGAGGUUUUCCCCCCACACUGGUACUGAGACACGGACCAGACUCCUACGGGAGGCAGCAGUGAGGAAUAUUGGUCAAUGGGCGCAAGCCUGAACCAGCCAUGCCGCGUGCAGGAUGACGGCUCUAUGAGUUGUAAACUGCUUUUGUACGAGGGUAAAGUGGGUUACGUGCAACCUUUUGAAAGUAUCGUACGAAUAAGGAUCGGCUAACUCCGUGCCAGCCGCCGCGGUAA